This is a long non-coding RNA of Drosophila teissieri, 526 nucleotides long. RefSeq lists it as uncharacterized. The transcript has 2 exons. The record is from RefSeq and is a predicted model, not a curated record. NCBI's taxonomy places the organism in Eukaryota, Metazoa, Arthropoda, Insecta, Diptera, Drosophilidae.
UUUACGACAAAUUGUCUGGAUGUGCCUGCAUCCAAAUAUGGGAUUUCCUCCCACCUCCGGGGUCAAGGACUCGACCUUGCCUUGGCCCGGCCGACGACGCCAAUAUAAGAGGCUCUCAAGGACACAAUUGAAAUGGCUUAAAUCUUAGCCAGAAGCUGCGCGACAUAAAGCAGCGAAAAUUUCAAUAAAUAAGGCAGGCUUGGUGAGCGAUAUUGGAGGCAACUUCCUACGAAUACCCGAUGGUAAUCGGAGGCCAGCAUGUGGAAACUGUUGCUGCAAACGGCAAUAAAUAGCGGAAGUAACGUUGUGUGAGCUAUGCUCGAAUUUAUUGCCUUCCACAUAAAAUACUUGAAAUUUUUAUGUGCAGCCAGCCAGGUUGUAUGGAGGUAUAGACAGUUUCGCUUGAGGACUAUGCAUUACAUUCCAUAAUCAGCAUUGGGAGCCAAUCUUGCUAAUUGGAUUUAAAACUAUAUUCGAUUGGUUUCAGGCAGAUUAAAUAUAAUAUGAUUUUAGUAUGUACAUUAAA